AGUAGUAAAACAACAGAAUUGGAGUUGGCUAAAAUUAUGGACUGCUUCAUCCUUUUUUUUCUUCUGGUGUCUCUUCUGCAGUUUCCAACGAAGACAACAUCUCGACAAUCUCAUCUGUGAUUUUAAUAGUCAUUUGCUGCUCGCUCUCAGUUACACGAUGAACUAGAAGCCCAGACAUAAAUACAAGAAGAUAACAGAACAUUCUCCUAGCAUCUUCGGUUAUUCGCCUUAUUUAAUGGACCUCGUUCUAUGGAGUUUAGUUCAGACUCGGUGAUUUCCUUCUCCUUAUUCGACUUGCAUUAUUCUGGUUUAACUAUUUGCAAUCCUCUACUGUUACUCACAUUUUGCUCCUUUCUAUGAAAAUCAAGUUCAAGUAUCCCCUCUCUAGUAGUUUUACGAAGAUUAGUAAUGCAGGGAUUGUACCACAGAGAUUAGUCAUGCUCGGGAUUGCAACACAGGGAUUAGUUAUGCAGGUUCUUGUUGAAUGUCUAGUUUGACAUAGUACAAUUAGUAUACAAUAUACACUUUAAAAUAUGUGUGUACUUAUUAAACAAGAAUGAGGGUUAAUAUUUUUUCCCCACAGGACGAUGAGAGUUAGUAUUAUCAUUUCAGUGUUUCUAAUCCAUAAAUUAUCUCAUAACAACACAAUUGUCAGGACAACAG
Molecule: long non-coding RNA, 663 nt
Filed under: Capsicum annuum
Lineage: Eukaryota; Viridiplantae; Streptophyta; Magnoliopsida; Solanales; Solanaceae
Description: long non-coding RNA (CANN_LNC001835)
Source: RNAcentral